AGACAGAAAGACGGCUUCUUAUUGGUGCGGAUGACAGGCUGGUUGGAGGUAAAACCAGUACCGGACUCUGCUGCUCCCGAUCACCGGAUCUUCAGUAUCGUUCAACUCAAGUGUUGGGAGCGUAUUAUGAGGCGAAGGCAGAAAACUUCAACAACACACUCACCUGCUGGGGAAAGGAAAGGGCACUAUUCUUCUAAAAGAACUAGCUACAAGAUGUAGUCCUGGGUUUAUCUGACCGCCUGUCUUUAACUUGUUCGCUGCUAUUACUACAAGUUGGGUCUCCUCGGGGAAUGUGAAGAAUUCUGCCUCGGUUGGUGUCAGAAAAGAGCCGGGUUGGAUUCUCGGAACCGGAUUGAAAUGUUUCGACAGGUGAUCGGGAUAUAAUUCUGAAUCGACUUUUAAAAAAUGAUUAGAUUGCUGUCAAUAUAAACGUUCUGGAGAUUGCUCGCCACAUCCGAUCCAUCACAUCAACCCGACGAGGUUCUGCGAUGGUCCAGGCCUUAUCUCCAUCAAAUAUGAUAUGUGACAGAACCCCACAGGCAUUGUACGACACCUCAAUCCCAUCUGCAUU
Molecule: long non-coding RNA, 571 nt
Organism: Mobula hypostoma (lesser devil ray)
Lineage: Eukaryota; Metazoa; Chordata; Chondrichthyes; Myliobatiformes; Myliobatidae
Exons: 3
Source: RefSeq, a predicted model, not a curated record